UACAGAGGGGGCAAGCGUUAUUCGGAAUUACUGGGCGUAAAGGGCGCGUAGGCGGCCUGUUAAGUCGAACGUGAGAUCCCCGGGCUCAACCCGGGAACUGCGUCCGAAACUGGCAGGCUUGAAUCCGGGAGAGGGAUGUGGAAUUCCAGGUGUAGCGGUGAAAUGCGUAGAUAUCUGGAGGAACACCGGUGGCGAAGGCGGCAUCCUGGACCGGUAUUGACGCUGAGGCGCGAAAGCCAGGGGAGCAAACGGG
RNAcentral lists this ribosomal RNA (253 nucleotides) under uncultured bacterium. RNAcentral describes it as "partial 16S ribosomal RNA". It matches the Rfam family "Bacterial small subunit ribosomal RNA", at positions 524 to 776 of the family's 1533-position model. The record is from RNAcentral.